AAGGUCCACAAUUAUAUCAGGUAUUUCCAUUUAUCCUGUGUGGAUUUGCAACUUUUUAUGUUCACUUUGUUAAACUUCAAGCCGGUUGAGACAAGAGACAUUCUCUGACCAUGAUGGAAAUUACCUUCCUAAUGUGGUCUCUUGAGAAUCAGUUUGAACCUCUUUCUUGAACUUAGAUUUGUUGCGGGUAAUGCUCUGUUUAAAUGUAAUGUACAGAGUAUGGAUAAACAACCUAAUCACAAGUACUAGGUCUUCAGUAGCUCUCUUGUUUGGACUGAAUCACCCUUUAGUAUGUGUUUAUCUGGAGAAGAAAAAUAAUUGCACUGCUAAAACCAGAAAAUCCUGACUAAGGUCAAGCUAACACUAUUUGGUAAAUACAGCCUGCAGCAUUUUGUUCUCUCUAAUUGAACUUACUACUAUGAAGAUCUACCUUAAACAGUUGAAAUUAUGAUUUGCUUGAUUAUGUCUCAUUUUGCUGUAGGUGGAUCCAUCAGGUUCAUAUU
RNAcentral lists this unclassified non-coding RNA (503 nucleotides) under Hevea brasiliensis (rubber tree). Lineage: Eukaryota; Viridiplantae; Streptophyta; Magnoliopsida; Malpighiales; Euphorbiaceae. The record is from RNAcentral.